RNAcentral lists this ribosomal RNA (277 nucleotides) under uncultured bacterium. RNAcentral's name for it is "partial 16S ribosomal RNA". It matches the Rfam family "Bacterial small subunit ribosomal RNA", at positions 77 to 353 of the family's 1533-position model. The record is from RNAcentral.
CAAACUGAAGAUGGCGACCGGCGCACGGGUGAGUAACACGUAUCCAACCUGCCGAUAACUCUGGAAUAGCCUUUCGAAAGAAAGAUUAAUACCGGAUAGUAUACGAAUAUCGCAUGAUAUUUUUAUUAAAGAAUUUCGGUUAUCGAUGGGGGAUGCGUUCCAUUAGUUUUGUUGGCGGGGUAACGGCCCACCAAGACUACGAUGGAUAGGGGUUCUGAGAGGAAGGUCCCCCACAUUGGAACUGAGACACGGUCCAAACUCCUACGGAGGCAGCAUG